RNAcentral lists this small RNA (551 nucleotides) under Pan troglodytes (chimpanzee). RNAcentral's name for it is "processed transcript". Lineage: Eukaryota; Metazoa; Chordata; Mammalia; Primates; Hominidae. The record is from RNAcentral.
AAUACCAUGCUGGGUGUGUGUUCGGUGGUGGUGCAGAGUGAAGCCACAGGAACUGAUGAUGUUGUAGGCCCUGAAGGCAUGGAGAAAUUUUGUGAAGACAUUGGUGUUGAACCAGAAAACAUGUGAUACAACAGAAAAACUCAGAAAUACUUUGGAUUACUUAAGAUCAUUCUUAAAUGAUUCUACAAACUUUAAACUUAUUUACAGAUAUGCGUUUGACUUUGCACGGGAAAAGGACCAGCGCAGCCUAGACAUAAACACUGCCAAGUGCAUGUUGGGACUGUUAUUAGGAAAAAUCUGGCCCCUUUUUCCAGUUUUUCACCAAUUCUUAGAGCAAUCAAAAUACAAAGUUAUUAAUAAAGACCAGUGGUGCAAUGUCCUAGAGUUUAGCAGAACAAUUAAUCUUGACCUCAGCAACUAUGAUGAAGAUGGAGCAUGGCCAGUUUUGUUGGACGAGUUUGUGGAGUGGUAUAAAGACAAACAGAUGUCCUAGGACUUUAUGCAUAGCAGCGAGAGAGUCACUGUUACCACAGUUUUGUCACCCAUUAGCC